This 253-nucleotide ribosomal RNA is filed under the name uncultured prokaryote. Its description in RNAcentral is "partial 16S ribosomal RNA". It matches the Rfam family "Bacterial small subunit ribosomal RNA", at positions 524 to 776 of the family's 1533-position model. The record is from RNAcentral.
UACGGGGGGGGCAAGCGUUGUUCGGAAUUACUGGGCGUAAAGGGCUCGUAGGUGGCCAAUUAAGUCAGACGUGAAAUCCCCAGGCUUAACCUGGGAACUGCGUCUGAUACUGACUGGCUUGAAUUCGGGAGAGGGAUGCAGAAUUCCAGGUGUAGCGGUGAAAUGCGUAGAUAUCUGGAGGAAUACCGGUGGCGAAGGCGGUUCUCUGGGCCUUACCUGACACUGAGGAGCGAAAGCGUGGGGAGCGAACAGG